CUUACGGCUAGGUAUUCCUGUCAGUCAGGCUACAGUCUCUCUGGUCCAACCACGAGAGUCUGCCAAAGUGACGGUACUGCUUGGACUGACGAGGAUCCCUUUUGUGUUCAAUGUGAGGAACUGCACCUUGGGAGUAACAUGAACGUGACCUUAGUGACAAGUGGUGUGAUCAGUCAAGCCGUUGUAUUAUGUGACCCGUGGUUUACCCUCGCCGACAGCCAAAACGUCACCUGUAGCUCUAACGGAUCAUGGAAUAUCCACCUUCCGACAUGCGUACGCUGUGAGCAGCUGCAGGUUGGAACAGGCCUGUCGUACAAGGUAACGACAAGCGGCU
Long non-coding RNA from Mya arenaria, 334 nucleotides. RefSeq lists it as uncharacterized. The record is from RefSeq and is a predicted model, not a curated record. Lineage: Eukaryota; Metazoa; Mollusca; Bivalvia; Myida; Myidae. The transcript has 3 exons.